AUGGAUGUCGAGGAGGACACGGGACUUGGUUUCAGCGGCAUGGAAUUAUUUAACCUUGUGCUCUUGGGAAGAAGAGUGUGGAGGCUACUUCAAGAUUCGUCCACUUCGAGUGCAAGAAUUCUAAAGGUUGUCUACUUCCCUAACGGGUAUAUCCUCUCUGCUGAGUUUGGUUCACACCCCUCUCAAGUGUGGAGAUCAAUGUGUGAAGGGAGAUAUGUCAUGUGUGUUGGUCUGGUAAGGAAAAUAGGUAAUGGUAGAACUACUGAUGCAUGAAGAGAUAAUUGGAUACCUAGAGACUAUCGUAUGAGGCCAACACGUCAUGUGACCAAUGACCCACCUAGGCUAGUUUCAGAUUUUAUCAUCCAUGCCUUGAGGCAAUUGAACAUGCAGGAGUUAGAAAGGCACAUGUUGCCUGGACGUAGAAGCUAUCAAGCAGAAACCGAUGAGUUAUGUCCCUCAAGAGGAUUUUUGGGCUUGGCAAUAUGA
This 486-nucleotide ribosomal RNA is filed under the name Triticum aestivum (bread wheat). Its description in RNAcentral is "partial small subunit ribosomal RNA". Lineage: Eukaryota; Viridiplantae; Streptophyta; Magnoliopsida; Poales; Poaceae. The record is from RNAcentral.